This 303-nucleotide ribosomal RNA is filed under the name Triticum aestivum (bread wheat). RNAcentral describes it as "partial small subunit ribosomal RNA". Lineage: Eukaryota; Viridiplantae; Streptophyta; Magnoliopsida; Poales; Poaceae. The record is from RNAcentral.
AUGCAGUUGAUUUCCUUGAAGAAUAUAGUUAACUUCUCUUCAUUUUUUACGGGGUUAAUUUUUCUGUAUUCUAUAGUUAAAGCAUUCUGCAUUGCUUUUGGCAUGACAUUCUUCAGUGUGUUCGAUGUGCCAGUGUUUUGGCCUAUCCUUCUUUUCUAUUGGGUGGUGUUGUUUACUGUCACAAUGAAGCGUCAGAUCCUUCAUAUGGUGAAAUACAGAUAUGUUCCGUUCACCUUUGGGAAACAGCGUUAUAAUGGGAAAAGGGCAGCUUCUGCAGAUGAUCUCACACUUCCCAAGGAUUAA